CAGCAGCCGCGGUAAUACGAAGGGUGCAAGCGUUAAUCGGAAUUACUGGGCGUAAAGCGUGCGUAGGCGGUGAGUUAAGUCUGCUGUGAAAUCCCCGGGCUCAACCUGGGAAUGGCAGUGGAUACUGGCUCGCUAGAGUGUGUCAGAGGAUGGUGGAAUUCCCGGUGUAGCGGUGAAAUGCGUAGAGAUCGGGAGGAACAUCAGUGGCGAAGGCGGCCAUCUGGGACAACACUGACGCUGAGGCACGAAAGCGUGGGGAGCAAACAGGAUUAGAUACCCGCGUAGUCCCUGUCUCUUAUAA
RNAcentral lists this ribosomal RNA (301 nucleotides) under uncultured bacterium. RNAcentral's name for it is "partial 16S ribosomal RNA". It matches the Rfam family "Bacterial small subunit ribosomal RNA", at positions 509 to 809 of the family's 1533-position model. The record is from RNAcentral.